GGGUUGUGAGGUUAAGCGACUAAGCGUACACGGUGGAUGCCCUGGCAGUCAGAGGCGAUGAAGGACGUGCUAAUCUGCGAAAAGCGUCGGUAAGGUGAUAUGAACCGUUAUAACCGGCGAUGUCCGAAUGGGGAAACCCAGUGCAAUUCGUUGCACUAUCGUUAACUGAAUACAUAGGUUAACGAGGCGAACCGGGGGAACUGAAACAUCUAAGUACCCCGAGGAAAAGAAAUCAACCGAGAUUCCCCCAGUAGCGGCGAGCGAACGGGGAGCAGCCCAGAGUCUGAAUCAGCUUGUGUGUUAGUGGAACGGUCUGGAAAGUCCGACGGUACAGGGUGAUAGUCCCGUACACCAAAAUGCACAGGCUGUGAACUCGAAGAGUAGGGCGGGACACGUGGUAUCCUGUCUGAAUAUGGGGGGACCAUCCUCCAAGGCUAAAUACUCCUGACU
Molecule: ribosomal RNA, 450 nt
Filed under: Acinetobacter baumannii
Lineage: Bacteria; Pseudomonadati; Pseudomonadota; Gammaproteobacteria; Moraxellales; Moraxellaceae
Description: partial 23S ribosomal RNA
Rfam family: Bacterial large subunit ribosomal RNA
Source: RNAcentral